RNAcentral lists this unclassified non-coding RNA (338 nucleotides) under soil metagenome. RNAcentral's name for it is "partial contains 5.8S ribosomal RNA, internal transcribed spacer 2, and large subunit ribosomal RNA". The stretch from base 1 to 120 matches the Rfam family "5.8S ribosomal RNA", at positions 35 to 154 of the family's 154-position model. The record is from RNAcentral.
GAUGAAGAACGCAGCGAAAUGCGAUAAGUAGUGUGAAUUGCAGAAUUCAGUGAAUCAUCGAAUCUUUGAACGCACAUUGCGCCCCUUGGUAUUCCAUGGGGCAUGCCUGUUCGAGCGUCAUUUGUACCUUCAAGCUCUGCUUGGUGUUGGGUGUUUGUCUCGCCUCUGCGCGCAGACUCGCCUCAAAACGAUUGGCAGCCGGCGUAUUGAUUUCGGAGCGCAGUACAUCUCGCGCUUUGACAACAAAACGACGACGUCCAAAAAGUACAUUUUUUACACUCUUGACCUCGGAUCAGGUAGGGAUACCCGCUGAACUUAAGCAUAUCAAUAGCGGAGGA